This 94-nucleotide transfer RNA is filed under the name Holosporaceae bacterium. RNAcentral describes it as "tRNA-Ser". It matches the Rfam family "tRNA". Rfam says of the family: Transfer RNA (tRNA) molecules are approximately 80 nucleotides in length. Their secondary structure includes four short double-helical elements and three loops (D, anti-codon, and T loops). The record is from RNAcentral. Lineage: Bacteria; Pseudomonadati; Pseudomonadota; Alphaproteobacteria; Holosporales; Holosporaceae.
GGAGGGAUGGCCGAGAGGCUGAAGGCAGCGGUUUGCUAAACCGCCAUACGAUCGAAAGUUCGUAUCGAGGGUUCGAAUCCCUCUUCCUCCGCCA